UGGGGAAUCUUGGACAAUGGGGGCAACCCUGAUCCAGCCAUGCCGCGUGAGUGAUGAAGGCCUUAGGGUCGUAAAGCUCUUUCGCCUGUGAAGAUAAUGACGGUAGCAGGUAAAGAAACCCCGGCUAACUCCGUGCCAGCAGCCGCGGUAAUACGGAGGGGGUUAGCGUUGUUCGGAAUUACUGGGCGUAAAGCGCACGUAGGCGGACCAGAAAGUUGGGGGUGAAAUCCCGGGGGCUCAACCCCGGAACUGCCUCCAAAACUAUUGGUCUAGAGUUCGAGAGAGGUGAGUGGAAUUCCAAGUGUAGAGGUGAAAAUUCGUAGAUAUUUGGAGGAACACCAGUGGCGAAAGGCGGCUCACUGGCUCGAUACUGACGCUGAGGUGCGAAAAGUGUGGGGGAGCAAAACAGGAUUAGAUACCCUGGGUAGUCCACACCGUAAAACGAUGAAUGCCAGUCGUCGGGGUAGCAUGCUAUUCGGUGACACACCUAACGGAUUAAAGCAUUCCGCCUGGGGAGUACGGUCGCAAGAUUAAAAACUCAAAAUG
RNAcentral lists this ribosomal RNA (546 nucleotides) under uncultured bacterium. RNAcentral describes it as "bacterial SSU rRNA". It matches the Rfam family "Bacterial small subunit ribosomal RNA", at positions 355 to 908 of the family's 1533-position model. The record is from RNAcentral.